Molecule: ribosomal RNA, 500 nt
Filed under: uncultured bacterium
Lineage: Bacteria
Description: partial 16S ribosomal RNA
Rfam family: Bacterial small subunit ribosomal RNA
Source: RNAcentral
AUUGAACGCUGGCGGCAUGCCUUACACAUGCAAGUCGAACGGCAGCACGGGAGCAAUCCUGGUGGCGAGUGGCGAACGGGCGAGUAAAGUAUCGGAACGUGCCCAGUCGUGGGGGAUAACGUAGCGAAAGUUACGCUAAUACCGCAUACGAUCUAUGGAUGAAAGCGGGGGAUCGCAAGACCUCGCGCGAUUGGAGCGGCCGAUAUCAGAGUAGGUAGUUGGUGGGGUAAAGGCUCACCAAGCCGACGAUCUGUAGCUGGUCUGAGAGGACGACCAGCCACACUGGGACUGAGACACGGCCCAGACUCCUACGGGAGGCAGCAGUGGGGAAUUUUGGACAAUGGGCGAAAGCCUGAUCCAGCCAUGCCGCGUGCAGGAUGAAGGCCUUCGGGUUGUAAACUGCUUUUGUACGGAACGAAAAGGUUUGGGCUAAUAAGCUGAGCUCAUGACGGUACCGUAAGAAUAAGCACCGGCUAACUACGUGCCAGCAGCCGCGGUAA